This 313-nucleotide long non-coding RNA is filed under the name Brassica napus (rape). Its description in RNAcentral is "long non-coding RNA (BNAP_LNC009691)". The record is from RNAcentral. Lineage: Eukaryota; Viridiplantae; Streptophyta; Magnoliopsida; Brassicales; Brassicaceae.
CUUUUCAAAGGGUCCAAUAAUCAAAUCAUUAUAGUAAUUAAGAUGUCAAUCCAUUUCUAAGAGUUUUGAAUCAAGGAGAAUUCAGGUUUUCAAUUAAGCUAAAUGCAAUCAAUAAGAUGGGGUGAUUCAAUCAAACUAACAAGUUUCAAGAACAACUAACAAGCAACUUUCAAUCAAAUAGAUAAAGGAGGAAUCAUGGGCACAUGAUUUUGCUUUCAGAUGACUAAGAUUUAAUCUAAAAUGACAAGGUUUCAAUAAACAAAUUCUCCUAAGUCUAGAUAUCAAUUCUAAGCAAGUUCUCUUCCAAGAUAAA